GUAGGGAAUAUUGGGCAAUGGUCGGAAGACUGACCCAGCCAUGCCGCGUGCAGGAAGACGGCCCUCUGGGUUGUAAACUGCUUUUAUCUGGGAAGAAAAAGGCCAUGCGUGGCAAAUUGCCGGUACCAGAUGAAUAAGCACCGGCUAACUCCGUGCCAGCAGCCGCGGUAAUACGGAGGGUGCGAGCGUUGUCCGGAUUUAUUGGGUUUAAAGGGUGCGUAGGCGGCUGAUUAAGUCAGCGGUGAAAGACUUCGGCUUAACCGGAGCAGUGCCGUCGAUACUGGUUGGCUUGAGUGUCGGAGGGGUACAUGGAAUUGAUGGUGUAGCGGUGAAAUGCAUAGAUACCAUCAGGAACACCGAUAGCGAAGGCAUUGUACUGGCCGACAACUGACGCUGAUGCACGAAAGUGUGGGGAUCGAACAGGAUUAGAAACCCGAGUAGUCC
This 444-nucleotide ribosomal RNA is filed under the name uncultured bacterium. RNAcentral's name for it is "partial 16S ribosomal RNA". It matches the Rfam family "Bacterial small subunit ribosomal RNA", at positions 354 to 796 of the family's 1533-position model. The record is from RNAcentral.